RNAcentral lists this ribosomal RNA (485 nucleotides) under uncultured bacterium. RNAcentral's name for it is "partial 16S ribosomal RNA". It matches the Rfam family "Bacterial small subunit ribosomal RNA", at positions 30 to 507 of the family's 1533-position model. The record is from RNAcentral.
UUGAACGCUGGCGGCAUGCCUUACACAUGCAAGUCGAACGGCAGCACGGGUGCUUGCACCUGGUGGCGAGUGGCGAACGGGUGAGUAAUACAUCGGAACAUGUCCUGUAGUGGGGGAUAGCCCGGCGAAAGCCGGACUAAUACCGCAUACGAUCUACGGAUGAAAGCGGGGGACCUUCGGGCCUCGCGCUAUAGGGUUGGCCGAUGGCUGAUUAGCUAGUUGGUGGGGUAAAGGCCUACCAAGGCGACGAUCAGUAGCUGGUCUGAGAGGACGACCAGCCACACUGGGACUGAGACACGGCCCAGACUCCUACGGGAGGCAGCAGUGGGGAAUUUUGGACAAUGGGCGAAAGCCUGAUCCAGCAAUGCCGCGUGUGUGAAGAAGGCCUUCGGGUUGUAAAGCACUUUUGUCCGGAAAGAAAUCCUUGGCCCUAAUACGGUCGGGGGAUGACGGUACCGGAAGAAUAAGCACCGGCUAACUACGUG